GGAGAGGUGGCAGAGUGGUCGAUUGCACUUGUCCUGAAAACAAGAGAACGUUAAUAACGUUUCCGGGGUUCAAAUCCCUGUCUCUCCG
RNAcentral lists this transfer RNA (88 nucleotides) under Caudoviricetes sp. Its description in RNAcentral is "tRNA-Ser". It matches the Rfam family "tRNA". Rfam says of the family: Transfer RNA (tRNA) molecules are approximately 80 nucleotides in length. Their secondary structure includes four short double-helical elements and three loops (D, anti-codon, and T loops). Further hydrogen bonds mediate the characteristic L-shaped molecular structure. tRNAs have two regions of fundamental functional importance: the anti-codon, which is responsible for specific mRNA codon recognition, and the 3' end, to which the tRNAs corresponding amino acid is attached (by aminoacyl-tRNA synthetases). tRNAs cope with the degeneracy of the genetic code in two manners: having more than one tRNA (with a specific anti-codon) for a particular amino acid; and 'wobble' base-pairing, i.e. permitting non-standard base-pairing at the 3rd anti-codon position. Lineage: Duplodnaviria; Heunggongvirae; Uroviricota; Caudoviricetes. The record is from RNAcentral.